CAGAGAUGCUGUAACCCGAAUAUCUUUCUACUACUACCAACCUCAGGAGCUCGGACCCAGGAACCACGGGGAGGGGCCAAGUUGCUGUCCAAGGAUUCCCAAAAGCCAGAUCUUCCCCCUGUCAUGAAGGUCUAAGACGUUCUUGGCUUACCAGACUUAGCAACAAAAUAACAAAUGACCCCAUCCAAAAGUGGGGAGAGGAUGUGAACAGAAUAUUCACCACAGAAGAGAUCCAAAAGGACAACAGACAUAUGAAAAAAAUGUGCCAAGUCACUGAUUGUGAAAGAAAUGCAAAUAUAGACCCAAUGAAAUACCACUUCACCACUAUGAGAAUGGCAUACAGCAGAAAGAAUAA
This is a long non-coding RNA of Erinaceus europaeus (western European hedgehog), 355 nucleotides long. RefSeq lists it as uncharacterized. The transcript has 2 exons. The record is from RefSeq and is a predicted model, not a curated record. Lineage: Eukaryota; Metazoa; Chordata; Mammalia; Eulipotyphla; Erinaceidae.